GAUGAACGCUGGCGGCGUGCCUAAUACAUGCAAGUCGAGCGAACAGACGAGGAGCUUGCUCCUCUGACGUUAGCGGCGGACGGGUGAGUAACACGUGGAUAACCUACCUAUAAGACUGGGAUAACUUCGGGAAACCGGAGCUAAUACCGGAUAAUAUAUUGAACCGCAUGGUUCAAUAGUGAAAGACGGUUUUGCUGUCACUUAUAGAUGGAUCCGCGCCGCAUUAGCUAGUUGGUAAGGUAACGGCUUACCAAGGCGACGAUGCGUAGCCGACCUGAGAGGGUGAUCGGCCACACUGGAACUGAGAAACGGUCCAGACUCCUAAGGGAGGCAGCAGUAGGGAAUCUUCCGCAAUGGGCGAAAGCCUGACGGAGCAACGCCGCGUGAGUGAUGAAGGUCUUCGGAUCGUAAAACUCUGUUAUUAGGGAAGAACAAAUGUGUAAGUAACUAUGCACGUCUUGACGGUACCUAAUCAGAAAGCCACGGCUAACUACGUG
This 497-nucleotide ribosomal RNA is filed under the name uncultured bacterium. RNAcentral's name for it is "partial 16S ribosomal RNA". It matches the Rfam family "Bacterial small subunit ribosomal RNA", at positions 28 to 507 of the family's 1533-position model. The record is from RNAcentral.